This 581-nucleotide ribosomal RNA is filed under the name cyanobacterium IW5. RNAcentral's name for it is "bacterial SSU rRNA". It matches the Rfam family "Bacterial small subunit ribosomal RNA", at positions 28 to 656 of the family's 1533-position model. The record is from RNAcentral. Lineage: Bacteria; Bacillati; Cyanobacteriota.
GAUGAACGCUGGCGGUAUGCUUAACACAUGCAAGUCGAACGAAGUCUUCGGACUUAGUGGCGGACGGGUGAGUAACGCGUAAGAAUCUACCUAUAGGUUCGGGACAACAGUUAGAAAUGACUGCUAAUACCGGAUAUGCCUUCGGGUGAAAGUUUUAAUGCCUGUAGAUGAGCUUGCGUUCGAUUAGCUAGAUGGUGGGGUAAUGGCCUACCAUGGCGACGAUCGAUAACUGGUCUGAGAGGAUGACCAGUCACACUGGGACUGAGACACGGCCCAGACUCCUACGGGAGGCAGCAGUGGGGAAUUUUCCGCAAUGGGCGAAAGCCUGACGGAGCAAUACCGCGUGAGGGACGAAGGCUGUGGGUUGUAAACCUCUUUUGUUAGGGAAGAUAAUGACGGUACCUAACGAAUAAGCAUCGGCUAACUCCGNUGCCAGCAGCCGCGGUAAGACGGAGGAUGCAAGCGUUAUCCGGAAUUAUUGGGCGUAAAGCGUACGUAGGCUGUUUGAUAAGUCUGUUGUCAAAGCCCGAGGCUCAACCUUGGAUCGGCAAUGGAAACUGUGAGACUAGAGAGAGAUAGGG